Non-coding RNA from Vicugna pacos (alpaca), 957 nucleotides. The record is from RefSeq and is a predicted model, not a curated record. Lineage: Eukaryota; Metazoa; Chordata; Mammalia; Artiodactyla; Camelidae.
UACUCUCGCGAGGGCUCGAGAACCCGGUGAGGCGCGCUUCCGACGUCGGGGCGGAGCCUGGACGCAGAUUGGCUGAGGCGUCGCCGGGAUGGCUGACUGGAUGCAACGGGGCUGCGUAGGGAAGAGGCGAUGAAGGAUUGUUGUAUUUUGCAAGGGAACAGCGUGGCUAGUUCCUAACAACACUGAAGCCUUAAAGGGUAAAUGUCAGCUGACUUCCUGAUGCCAGAUAAAGCCUUUUCCAUUGCUGCACAGACAGGACUAGAAAUACUCUGAAAUACAGCAGACAGAAGGCAGGUACAGCAUAGGUGGUGUGCCAAACUGCCUUGUUCAAAUCUCAGUUCUGCAGUUUUCCAGCUGUGCAACCUUGGGCAAGGUACUUCAUUUCUCUGUGCUUCCAAUUCCUUAUCUGUGAAAUGUGGAUAAUAGAAUGUUACUUAUAAUGCUAUUUUGAGCAUUAAAAGACUUAGUAGGCUUCAAAAACCUUAGAAUUGUGCCCAGUUCUAAGUACUAUACAAUUGUUCUUUAAGAAAAAAGGAGAAAGAAUCUUUAGGAUGGGGCUGCUGGUUGUGCCCCAGUAUUUAGUAGUCUCUUCUUUAGCAACAGAACCCCCAAAUUUCAGCAGAGUGUAUGGGUGUUUGGUAUAAAGACUGCAUUUCCAGCCUCUCUGUUUUCGCUGGGUGGGCCAGAUGACUAAGUUCUGGCCAAUGGGAUCUGAGUGGCAGCUAUAUAUGCUGCAUCCAGGAAAUGUCUCAAAGAGAUCCUGUGCCCUUACUGCUCCCAUGGUUUGUGGUUUCCUUACCAUUCAAGUGCGAGCAUGUUGGCUGCAGCCCUCUCGAACCACCAGGUGGAAUCUUCAAGUUGAAGAUGGUAGCACAGUAGGAUGGGAGAGAAGGUGCCUGAGCCCUGAUAUCAUGAAGCUACCACCUUAGCCCCAGACCUACUAAAUUUGUGUGAGAA